UAGUUAGUUGGUGGGUAAAGGCCUACCAAGACAAUGAUGCAUAGCCGAGUUGAGAGACUGAUCGGCCACAUUGGGACUGAGACACGGCCCAAACUCCUACGGGAGGCUGCAGUAGGGAAUCUUCCACAAUGGGCGAAAGCCUGAUGGAGCAACGCCGCGUGUGUGAUGAAGGCUUUCGGGUCGUAAAGCACUGUUGUAUGGGAAGAAAAGUUAAGGUAGGGAAUGACCUUAGCCUGACGGUACCAUACCAGAAAGGGACGGCUAAAUACGUGCCAGCAGCCGCGGUAAUACGUAUGUCCCGAGCGUUAUCCGGAUUUAUUGGGCGUAAAGCGAGCGCAGACGGUUGGUUAAGUCUGAUGUGAAAGCCCGGAGCUCAACUCCGGAAAGGCAUUGGAAACUGGUUAACUUGAGUGCAGUAGAGGUAAGUGGAACUCCAUGUGUAGCGGUGGAAUGCGUAGAUAUAUGGAAGAACACCAGCGGCGAAGGCGGCUUACUGGACUGUAACUGACGUUGAGGCUCGAAAGUGUGGGUAGCAAACAGGAUUAGAUACCCUGGUAGUCCACACCGUAAACGAUGAACACUAGGUGUUAGGAGGUUUCCGCCUCUUAGUGCCGAAGCUAACGCAUUAAGUGUUCCGCCUGGGGAGUACGACCGCAAGGUUGAAACUCAAAGGAAUUGACGGGGACCCGCACAAGCGGUGGAGCAUGUGGUUUAAUUCGAAGCAACGCGAAGAACCUUACCAGGUCUUGACAUCCUUUGAAGCUUUUAGAAAUAGAAGUGUUCUCUUCGGAGACAAAGUGACAGGUGGUGCAUGGUCGUCGUCAGCUCGUGUCGUGAGAUGUUGGGUUAAGUCCCGCAACGAGCGCAACCCUUAUUGUUAGUUGCCAGCAUUCAGAUGGGCACUCUAGCGAGACUGCCGGUGACAAACCGGAGGAAGGCGGGGACGACGUCAGAUCAUCAUGCCCCUUAUGACCUGGGCUACACACGUGCUACAAUGGCGUAUACAACGAGUUGCCAACCUGCGAAGGUGAGCUAAUCUCUUAAAGUACGUCUCAGUUCGGACUGCAGUCUGCAACUCGACUGCACGAAGUCGGAAUCGCUAGUAAUCGCGGAUCAGCACGCCGCGGUGAAUACGUUCCCGGGUCUUGUACACACCGCCCGUCACACCAUGGAAGUUUGUAAUGCCCAAAGCCGGUGGCCUAACCGUAAGGAGGGAACCGUC
This 1222-nucleotide ribosomal RNA is filed under the name Leuconostoc carnosum. Its description in RNAcentral is "bacterial SSU rRNA". It matches the Rfam family "Bacterial small subunit ribosomal RNA", at positions 242 to 1457 of the family's 1533-position model. Lineage: Bacteria; Bacillati; Bacillota; Bacilli; Lactobacillales; Lactobacillaceae. The record is from RNAcentral.